Molecule: non-coding RNA, 1244 nt
Organism: Zootermopsis nevadensis
Lineage: Eukaryota; Metazoa; Arthropoda; Insecta; Blattodea; Termopsidae
Source: RefSeq, a predicted model, not a curated record
AUAUCCGAAGGGUAAACAUUCUGCUGGCAGAGACACAACGUUACCAUUACUCGAUAGAAUGCUUACAGCUUGGUGGUUAACUGUGGAUGUUUCACUGCAAGACGAAUUUCUCUGACUUUGGUUACAGCAGCGUCAACGAUCUCUGUCACCAGACAUGUGGUGAUUGGGUUCCUAUUGAACUCUCUACUCUGUUUUUUAUCACGUCGUUGAGGAUUUGUUUCUGAUAACAGGACUUCUAGGAGGCAUCAGAUCAGAAGAUAGUUACUGCUUUCGAUUUACCUGGAUGGGGCCCGGUUUUAACAACGAUAGUGUUAUGAACGGUAGCACCAGUUGUGCAGAUGUGUUCGACAACUGCAGAGACCCCAUGCUCAUCACGAACGAUGGUACGACUCCAAAUUUCAGAGAGGUAUGGGAAAAUUUCGAGCGGCAGCAGGUAUCAUGUCGAAUGACCACAGGCUCUGUUUGUGCUAAAUGGACAUCCUAUUACGAAAACGCAGUUGAGUACACAAUGCACACCUGCUCCCGGAUAACAGUGUUGGGUGAGGGAGCCAUGUCUUCAGGGUGUGUGACGUCUAUUACGAACAACAGUAGGUGGACGGAACUGUGCGCCUGUAAGUCGGACCCCGGAUCACCGCCCUGCAACACAGGAAAUCAGACUCCUGUUACGAUCUUGGGACUAUUCUUUAUCAUCUUUAUUCUCUUGAAGUUUCUAAUGUAGGAUUUCUUAGGCCUGUAAUAGUCUUUCUAAAUAGGACACUGUAACAUAUGUGCGGUUUAAAAAAAAAGAUAUUUCCUCCAUCACAGACUGUUUUAUUCGCUAAAGAAUUAAAACACAGCUUGCGGCUAGUCGUUUAAUUAACAAUUAGUUAGUCCUCAACUAUUAAUAGCAACAUCCCAGUCACUACCGAUAUUUUCUGACAGAAAUUCGAUUAAGGACAACGGAAGAGCUCUAAUAGAAAAUCACACUUCCUUACCACAAAGCAAAAUAAAUUAAAGCCACACGUUGGUAGUAGCACUACGAAAACUAAGUAACAGACUUUGAAAUUAUUACAUGUCCAUAACUCUUACAACUGUGGAAGCGUUGAACAAAAAUUAACGAUAACAUGACGUAAAAUGUUCUCAUACUUACUCAGAUAAUCACAAUGUGUACUCAUGCUCUUGUAUCCAGGCCCAUGUCAGUAUUCUCAAAAGCCUUCCAAUGUACUCUUUCCUAUGUAAAUAAAAUCCAGUUUAAUUCCCGACAA